UCCUUGGGAGCCGAGGCUUGACGUUGGCUGAAGUGGAAGUCAUUUAAAAUCUACGGAAGACAGUCGUCAUAGCGAACCGUUGACGUCGCAGAUGCAGCGGCCAGCUGUUACUGGUCGCGUCACUCCCUUUGCCAGCUGAUCCAAGCAGGGCUCGAUACACCGGUAAACGUGAGAGGCGAGAACGGAGGAAUCACUUUACCGGUGAGGUUUGUAGUGGAUGCUGAUGAGUGAAUAUUGGCUGACCUACCGCAGUUCUUCUCUGGCAAACUUUAUGACCCUGUCCUGACGCUAAAGCUGCCAGCUGAAGAACUGUUGUGGUCAGCUCUACCCAGCAUGCACCAUUUUCAUCUGAGAGUGCUAUGGAUCUAAUUCAUUCUGGACCGUCUCUGUCAUAGAUCUUUGAUGAUAUUUUACAAUUCACUUUUCUGUGUUUUUAUCAUUGAAACAAAACCUCUUAAACUGAGAAAAUAUUUCGUAGGAAAAUGUAAAAAAAAUAUUAAAUUUUUGACUUGAAUUUUAAAA
This is a long non-coding RNA of Carassius gibelio (silver crucian carp), 522 nucleotides long. RefSeq lists it as uncharacterized. The transcript is spliced from 2 exons. NCBI's taxonomy places the organism in Eukaryota, Metazoa, Chordata, Actinopteri, Cypriniformes, Cyprinidae. The record is from RefSeq and is a predicted model, not a curated record.